This 1371-nucleotide ribosomal RNA is filed under the name Staphylococcus aureus. Its description in RNAcentral is "partial 23S ribosomal RNA". It matches the Rfam family "Bacterial large subunit ribosomal RNA", at positions 328 to 1703 of the family's 2925-position model. Lineage: Bacteria; Bacillati; Bacillota; Bacilli; Caryophanales; Staphylococcaceae. The record is from RNAcentral.
AUUAGACGAAUCAUCUGGAAAGAUGAAUCAAAGAAGGUAAUAAUCCUGUAGUCGAAAAUGUUGUCUCUCUUGAGUGGAUCCUGAGUACGACGGAGCACGUGAAAUUCCGUCGGAAUCUGGGAGGACCAUCUCCUAAGGCUAAAUACUCUCUAGUGACCGAUAGUGAACCAGUACCGUGAGGGAAAGGUGAAAAGCACCCCGGAAGGGGAGUGAAAUAGAACCUGAAACCGUGUGCUUACAAGUAGUCAGAGCCCGUUAAUGGGUGAUGGCGUGCCUUUUGUAGAAUGAACCGGCGAGUUACGAUUUGAUGCAAGGUUAAGCAGUAAAUGUGGAGCCGUAGCGAAAGCGAGUCUGAAUAGGGCGUUUAGUAUUUGGUCGUAGACCCGAAACCAGGUGAUCUACCCUUGGUCAGGUUGAAGUUCAGGUAACACUGAAUGGAGGACCGAACCGACUUACGUUGAAAAGUGAGCGGAUGAACUGAGGGUAGCGGAGAAAUUCCAAUCGAACCUGGAGAUAGCUGGUUCUCUCCGAAAUAGCUUUAGGGCUAGCCUCAAGUGAUGAUUAUUGGAGGUAGAGCACUGUUUGGACGAGGGGCCCCUCUCGGGUUACCGAAUUCAGACAAACUCCGAAUGCCAAUUAAUUUAACUUGGGAGUCAGAACAUGGGUGAUAAGGUCCGUGUUCGAAAGGGAAACAGCCCAGACCACCAGCUAAGGUCCCAAAAUAUAUGUUAAGUGGAAAAGGAUGUGGCGUUGCCCAGACAACUAGGAUGUUGGCUUAGAAGCAGCCAUCAUUUAAAGAGUGCGUAAUAGCUCACUAGUCGAGUGACACUGCGCCGAAAAUGUACCGGGGCUAAACAUAUUACCGAAGCUGUGGAUUGUCCUUUGGACAAUGGUAGGAGAGCGUUCUAAGGGCGUUGAAGCAUGAUCGUAAGGACAUGUGGAGCGCUUAGAAGUGAGAAUGCCGGUGUGAGUAGCGAAAGACGGGUGAGAAUCCCGUCCACCGAUUGACUAAGGUUUCCAGAGGAAGGCUCGUCCGCUCUGGGUUAGUCGGGUCCUAAGCUGAGGCCGACAGGCGUAGGCGAUGGAUAACAGGUUGAUAUUCCUGUACCACCUAUAAUCGUUUUAAUCGAUGGGGGGACGCAGUAGGAUAGGCGAAGCGUGCGAUUGGAUUGCACGUCUAAGCAGUAAGGCUGAGUAUUAGGCAAAUCCGGUACUCGUUAAGGCUGAGCUGUGAUGGGGAGAAGACAUUGUGUCUUCGAGUCGUUGAUUUCACACUGCCGAGAAAAGCCUCUAGAUAGAAAAUAGGUGCCCGUACCGCAAACCGACACAGGUAGUCAAGAUGAGAAUUCUAAGGUGAGCGAGCGAACUCUC